Podarcis lilfordi (Lilford's wall lizard) is the source of this 72-nucleotide non-coding RNA. NCBI's taxonomy places the organism in Eukaryota, Metazoa, Chordata, Lepidosauria, Squamata, Lacertidae. The record is from the annotation of a GenBank genome assembly.
GCUUCAUGUCUCAGUCAGCAGAACAUGAGACUCUUAAUCUCAAGGUUGUGGGUUUGAGCCCCACGUUGGACA